GCCGGGCAGCGUCGGCGAGGCGCCGGCCUGACCCAAGCGUCCUCGGAGUCUGGCCCGAGCUAGCCGCGCGCCUGAGAAGCAGCCCCAUCUCUGAGCCCGUCUGCCCUCGGAAGGAACAGCCCUGGCAGGGGGCGGGCACGGCAGAAGGGACGCCAGCGACCCCCCCAGGAAUGAGGUGAGGCCACGCGGCAGAUGUAGUUUUACCGGAGCUGGAAGAACUCUUCGCGGGAUCCCGGAAGUCACUGCAGGAAGUCACUGCACUUCCCUGUGCCUCCGUUUUCUCAUUGCAAACUGGGAAUGAGAAGUUGGCUACUGUGCUGACAGCCCUGGCAAUGAAAGAAUCGCAGUUUAUGUCAGAGUUCGCAAAGGGCAAGGCUGGAAUUUCCAUUUCCACUCUUGAACGGGACUCUGUGUCACAAUAUCUGUUAGAGGCGUUCAAAAUUGGCCGCAAGAUCAGUCGUUAUUGCUGGUCAAAAGCCACAGCCCUACCUGAGGCGUUGAGAGAUGUGAACGCCAAUGAUUUUUCUUUUCCUGACUCGCUAAAUACCAAGAAAAAGCAACUUCCCCAAAAACAUAGAAACAGAAAGUACUCUUGGAUGAACGCAGAGAAUUGGUUCCAGCCUACAGUUAGAGAUGGGAAGGCGCCCAGAACCAUCUAGUACUUCUACUCCUCACCCGCCACCCGGACCUUCACACCCACCAUUUUACAAAUAAGGAAACAGAGCCACAAAGGCUGUGAGAGGAUGUGCCUGAGGUCGUACGACUUGAGAAGGGUGGCCAAGGACUCUGGUCUCCCCUGUCCUUACUUUUUCCACCACAAAGCAAGGAGAAGGGGGAAGAUGGAGACAGCCCAGACGUGGCCAAGUAGGGAAGAAGGGGAAGCAGGAAGCAGGCUCUGGAAGCAGGAACUGAGUAGUGAGAAUGACAUGGCGUGUGCCAGAUUGACAUGGUGGCUUCUGAGAGCACUUUGAAAGCUACAGAGAGUGCUAGAGAAGUUAUGGCAUCCUUGCCUUCUUCCAUGUCUUUGGUGUUCCUAAAACUGAAGGUGGAGGAAAACCGAAACAGAGGUGCCCAUUAGGGUUCACUACCAGGGAGCUGAGCGUCCCAUGAAGACCACCUGGUCCCAUCCCACAUCAAAAGUGGACAUUCUCUUUCUCCACCAGCAGGUGUGACCCAGGUGUUAAGCUUGCCUGUUAUCCACCCCCACCCCACCCCUACUGUCCCACUCAGCUCCACCUGUGUCUCCCUGUCCCAAGAGGGCAGACCAACUGGGAGAUAUGAUCAGCACCUGACACCUAUUAUCCAGGACUUAGAACUGCAGCCACCCAGGACUGGAGCAGGGGUCAGACACUCAAAUGUCUCCAAGAGCCUAACAGCUCAGACUCAGGGACAGAACUGGGGAGAUGGUGUUCAUUUACUAGAUUACGGCAUUUCACAAUAGUAUUGUUGAUGGUCUGUGCCUCCUGAAACAAACCCUAUUGACAUUUCAGUCUUUUUUUUUUUUCUUCCAGUUCAGUAAGGUUUUCUUUCCCCUACACAUCUUUUCCAUAUUCUUCUUAUGAGUUUUUUAUCUGGUGGCAUCUCACAUUGUAUCCUUUCAACAGGCACACUUUGUGUAUUAAACAUUAUAGGAAUAUUCUUCACUUCUGCCAAGAAAUAUGCAUGCUCCCAUGUCUCCCGAAGCACAUCUCCCUCUUGGCCCCUUUUAUUUUUCCACAUUUGCUAGAGACAUGAUUACAAGACAUAUUUCACUUUUACGCAAUUCUGUUAUAAGAAAAACUACUGCACAAAUACAGAACAUGGCAACCGACCCUUGACCUUGAUGUCUGGGGACAAUACAGUAUGGAGACAAUAGAGUGUGGAAAGGAUGCAAAUGAGGAGACCUCUAAAAUACCCCCCACUGAGGGGGGCAACUUCAGCUCACUGUGAUCAUGUGAGAAUGCAGGGCUAGUGCGAUCAGAUUUUAUAAUUUGUAAAGAGAAACCAAAAACUGGAACUCUUAAUCUGAAAUCUCCUGAUUUUUAAAUGCUGGAAACUAAUUCAAAACAGUAUUUUAAACUGCUUUGUAGGCCAAACCAGACAUGACCUACUGACUUUCAGUUUAUGACAUCUGUUCUAUAUUAUACAGGUGGGAGCUGCACCAGUAAGACCUGAGUUAUUCCCGUUAGUGUGAGCUAAUUUGUUCCUACUGGCUCAGGAGAUACAGUUUACACAAGGGGCCGGUGCAGGGGGCUGUCAAUGUUAAGAGUUUAUUAAUAUUGUUCAUCAUAUGAAUAGGACAGAGGAGAAAAACCAUAUAAUUAUCCUAAUGUGAUGCGACCUGAUGAAAACUUAGUGACUGCGAGUAAAAAGACUUUUUCAAGAUGAUAAAUGUGUUUAUUCCAAUUCAACAGAUAGUGUGAUAUCUAGUGAUGACCUGGAAUGGAUAAUAUAGUCCUUAAUAACAGGCAAUCCUAUGAAAACGAGGAGCAAAACAAGAAUGUCACACUGUGAAUAGUGUCAACCAUAUUCUGAAAUUCAAGGAAAAACAAUGAGAAGAAAAAUAAAUGAGACAUAAACUUGGGGAGGAAGAGUCAAGCUUACUAUUACUUACAAAAGAUAUGAUUGUCUAGCUGAGAAACACUGGCUAAUGGACUGAGGAACAUUUGGAACUUAUGGGAGAGCAGAGUAAAGUAGCUGGACACAAAAAUAAAUAUAUGACAUUCAGUAGUUUUCUGUACACAGCAUUGACCAAAUCGAAAAGAGAGCUCGUUCAUCCCAGCAGCAAAAAAGCCUGAGAAUAGGAAAUUCAAGGGACCCAGAAUAGCCCAAACAAUCUUGAAAAAGAAGAAAAAAGUUGGAGGACUCAAGCUCCCUGAUUUCAAAACUUACCACAAAGCUACAGAUAUAUUUAUAUAUCAGUGGAAUAAAAUCGUAAGUCUGGAAAUAAACUCUCACAUUUACAAUCAAUUUUUGAUGAGGGUGCCAAAACAAUUCAAAGGGGGAAAGAAUUGUUUUUUCAAAAAUGGUGCUAAGGCAAUUGGAUACCCAUAUCCAAAAAAAAAAAAGAGAAGAAGAGAAAGAAAAAAAAGCAAAGAAUGAAAGAAAGAAACUGAAUCCCUACUUCACACUUCACAUGGAAAUUAACUCAAAAUGAAUCAAAGACCUGAAUGUAAGAGUUAAAACAAUAAAACUCUUAUAAGAAAACAUAGGUGUAAAUCUUCAUCACCUUGGACCAGGCAAUGGUUUUUAAGAUAUGACAUCAAAAGCACAAACAACCAAAGAAAAAAACAGAUAAGGUGGACAUUAUCAAAAUUUAAAACUUUUGUGCUUCAAGGACACCAUCAAGAAACAAAAGACGGGGACUUCCCUGGUGGCACAGUGGAUAAGACUCCCUGCUCCCAAUGCAGGGGGCCCAAGUUAGAUCCCUGGUCAGGGAACUAGAUCCCACAUGCAUGCCACAACUAAGGAGCCCAUGUGCCAUAACUAAGGAGCUGGUGAGCCACAACUAAGGAGCCCUGGAGCUGCAACUAAGGAGCCUGCCUGCUGCAACUAAGACCUGGUGCAACCAAAUAAAUAAAUAAAUAUUUAAAAAAAAAGAAACAAAAGACAACUCACAGAAUGGGAGAAAAUUUUUGCAAAUCGUAUAUAUGAUAAGAGACUUUAAUCUAGAAUAUAUAAAGAACUCCUAUAAAUCAAUAAUAAAAAAAACAAUUGAAAAAUGAGCAACGGAUAAGAAUAGAUAUUCUCCAAAGAAGAUAUAUAAAUGACCAACAAGCAUGUGAAAAUUGCUCAACAUCAUUAGUCAUCAGAGAAAGGCAAAUCAAAACCACAGUGGAAACACCACUUCACACCCAUCAAAAAGAAAGACUAUAACAAAUGUUGACAGGAAUGUGGAGAAUUUGGAACCCUCAUACCUACACUGCUGGUGGGGAUGUAAAAUGGUGCAGAUGCUUUGGAAAACAGUCUGACAAUUCCUCAAAAGGUAAGCUACCAUAUGAUCCAGCAAUUCCACGCCUGGGUAUAUACCAAAGGAAAGUGAAAACGUGCACACGAAAACAUAUGUACAAACAUCUAUAGCAGCAUUAUUUAUUAGCCAAAAGGUGGAAGCAACACAAAUGUCUAUCAGCUGAUGAAUGGAUAAAUAAAAUGUUGCAUAUUCACAAAGUGGAAUAUUAUUUGACCAUAAGGAGAUGAACCUUGAGAACAUGCUAGGUGAAAGAAGCCAGCUAUCAAGGAGCACAUUCUGAAUGGUUUCAUGUAUAUGAAAUGUUCAGAACAGGCAAAUCCGUGGAGACAAGGCAAAUUGGUGGUUGCCUAGUACAGGGAUAUUGGAGGAAAAUGAGCGAGAGAAUGCUAACGGGUAUGGGAUUUCUUUGUUGUGGUGGAAAAAUGUUUAAAAAUUGACCGCAAUGAUGAUUGCACAACUCUGAAUAUACUAAAAACUGUUGAAUUGUACACUUUAAAUGGGUGAAUUGUAUGGUAUGUGAAUUAUAUUUCAAUAAAGCUGUUAUUUUUUUAAAA
Orcinus orca (killer whale) is the source of this 4503-nucleotide long non-coding RNA. RefSeq lists it as uncharacterized. Lineage: Eukaryota; Metazoa; Chordata; Mammalia; Artiodactyla; Delphinidae. The transcript is spliced from 2 exons. The record is from RefSeq and is a predicted model, not a curated record.